Molecule: small nucleolar RNA, 107 nt
Organism: Suncus etruscus (white-toothed pygmy shrew)
Lineage: Eukaryota; Metazoa; Chordata; Mammalia; Eulipotyphla; Soricidae
Product: small nucleolar RNA U13
Exons: 1
Source: RefSeq, a predicted model, not a curated record
UGCUUUCUAAAAAUAAAAAACAUGAUGAUUGGGUUUUCACACGCCUGUUUGAUAUGUGUCUGUCUCCCUUCAACCUUGUUACGAUGUCAGCAUAUGACCCUGUGACA